AGCUCCAGUAGCGUAUAUUAAAGCUGUUGCGGUUAAAAAGCUCGUAGUUGGAUAUCAGUGCGUGUCCGGUCCGGUAUGCCAGGCGCUGUCGCUCGCGCGGCAAUGCUUGGCUCCCAAAUAUCGGCUGGCCGCAUUCAAUCGUGCCGGAUCCGUCGGCGGGCCGUUCUUCGGAGGGGCCUGUUGGCGGCCGGCGACGUUACCUUGAACAAAUUAGAGUGCUCAAAGCAGGCUCUGUAUGCCUGUAUACAUAUUCAUGGAAUUGGAGAAUACGUCCCUGGCUCGAUUUGGUUGGUUUUAAGAGUCGAAGGGAAAUGAUUAAUAGGGACUGACGGAGGCAUUCGUAUUGCGACGCGAGGGGUGAAAUCCUGUGACCGUCGCACGACGAACUACUGCGAAAGCAUUUGCCGAGAAUGUUUUCA
Molecule: ribosomal RNA, 419 nt
Filed under: marine Metazoa environmental sample
Lineage: Eukaryota; Metazoa
Description: SSU rRNA
Rfam family: Eukaryotic small subunit ribosomal RNA
Source: RNAcentral